RNAcentral lists this ribosomal RNA (438 nucleotides) under uncultured bacterium. RNAcentral describes it as "bacterial SSU rRNA". It matches the Rfam family "Bacterial small subunit ribosomal RNA", at positions 338 to 795 of the family's 1533-position model. The record is from RNAcentral.
CCUACGGGAGGCACCAGUGGGGAAUAUUGGACAAUGGCGAAAGCCUGAUCCAGCAAUGCCGCGUGUGUGAAGAAGGUCUUCGGAUGUAAAGCACUUUCGACGGGGACGAUGAUGACGGUACCCGUAGAAGAAGCCCCGGCUAACUUCGUGCCAGCAGCCGCGGUAAUACGAAGGGGGCUAGCGUUGUUCGGAAUUACUGGGCGUAAAGCGCGCGUAGGCGGAUAGAUAGGUCAGAGGUGAAAUCCCGGGGCUCAGCCCCGGAAUUGCCUUUGAUACUGUUUAUCUUGAGUGCAGAAGAGGUAAGUGGAAUUCCGAGUGUGGAGGUGAAAUUCGUAGAUAUUCGGAGGGACACCAGUGGCGAAGGCGGCUUACUGGUCUGCAACUGACGCUGAGGCGCGCAAGCGUGGGGAGCAAACAGGAUUAGAUACCCGUGUAGUC